GGAUUAGAUACCCUGGUAGUCCACGCCGUAAACGAUGACAACUAGCUGUUGGAAAGCUAUGCUUUUCAGUGGCGCAGCUAACGUCUUAAGUUGUCCGCCUGGGGAGUACGGCCGCAAGGUUAAAACUCAAAUGAAUUGACGGGGACCCGCACAAGCGGUGGAGCAUGUGGUUUAAUUCGACGCAACGCGAAGAACCUUACCCAGUCUUGACAUCCUUGGACAACCAUAGAGAUAUGGCCUUCUCCUUUACGGGAGACCAAGUGACAGGUGCUGCACGGCUGUCGUCAGCUCGUGUUG
RNAcentral lists this ribosomal RNA (297 nucleotides) under uncultured bacterium. RNAcentral's name for it is "partial 16S ribosomal RNA". It matches the Rfam family "Bacterial small subunit ribosomal RNA", at positions 775 to 1067 of the family's 1533-position model. The record is from RNAcentral.